AUAAAAAUGGAAAAUGCAAAUACAAAUAGGUGAAAAAGUAUACUAUAUACUAGACUCUAAGGGCGGA
RNAcentral lists this transfer RNA (67 nucleotides) under Hopea racophloea. RNAcentral's name for it is "partial tRNA-His". Lineage: Eukaryota; Viridiplantae; Streptophyta; Magnoliopsida; Malvales; Dipterocarpaceae. The record is from RNAcentral.